ACUGCUCAGUAACACGUGGACAACUUACCCAAGAGUCCGGGAUAACCCCGGGAAACUGGGGAUAAUACCGGAUAGAUCAUCUUUGCUGGAAGGCUUGGUGGUUGAAACUUCCGGGGCUUUUGGAUGGGUCUGCGGCUGAUUAGGUUGUUGCCGGUGUAACGUACCGUCAAGCCCGUAAUCAGUACGGGUUGUGGGAGCAAGAGCCCGGAGAUGGAUUCUGAGACACGAAUCCAGGCCCUACGGGGCGCAGCAGGCGCGAAAACUCUACAAUGCAGGCAACUGCGAUAGGGGAACAUCGAGUGAUCCUCAUAUUGGGGGUCUGUCCACCUGUCUAAAAAACGGGUGUUAGCAAGGGCCGGGCAAGACCGGUGCCAGCCGCCGCGGUAAUACCGGCGGCUCGAGUGGUGGCCGAUAUUAUUGAGUCUAAAGGGUCCGUAGCCGGCUUUGCAAGUCUCUCGGGAAAUCCAGCGGCUUAACCGUUGGUCGUCCGGGGGGUACUACAUUGCUUGGGACUGGGAGAGGUAGGAGGUACUCAGGGGGUAGGAGUGAAAUCCUGUAAUCCUUUGGGGACCACCGGUGGCGGAGGCGUCCUACCAGAACAGGUCCGACGGUGAGGGACGAAAGCUAGGGGCACGAACCGGAUUAGAUACCCGGGUAGUCCUAGCCGUAAACGAUGCUCGCUAGGUGUCACAACAGUCGUGAAUUGUUGUGGUGCCGUAGGGAAGCCGUGAAGCGAGCCACUUGGGAAGUACGACCGCAAGGUUGAAACUUAAAGGAAUUGGCGGGGGAGCA
This 792-nucleotide ribosomal RNA is filed under the name uncultured archaeon. Its description in RNAcentral is "bacterial SSU rRNA". It matches the Rfam family "Archaeal small subunit ribosomal RNA", at positions 85 to 878 of the family's 1478-position model. The record is from RNAcentral.